This 74-nucleotide ribosomal RNA is filed under the name Thiotrichales bacterium. RNAcentral's name for it is "partial 16S ribosomal RNA". It matches the Rfam family "Bacterial small subunit ribosomal RNA", at positions 1 to 68 of the family's 1533-position model. Lineage: Bacteria; Pseudomonadati; Pseudomonadota; Gammaproteobacteria; Thiotrichales. The record is from RNAcentral.
AAGAUUGAACUGAAGAGUUUGAUCCUGGCUCAGAUUGAACGCUGGCGGUAUGCUUAACACAUGCAAGUCGAACG